RNAcentral lists this long non-coding RNA (448 nucleotides) under Equus asinus (donkey). RNAcentral's name for it is "lncRNA (ENSEASG00005030516.1)". The record is from RNAcentral. Lineage: Eukaryota; Metazoa; Chordata; Mammalia; Perissodactyla; Equidae.
CUACUGAUGAUCCUCAGAUGAAGUGAUAAAUGUUUUGCUUUCCUGGCUGCCUGAGUACCCAGAGAAAGUUAAUACAAAUGGAAAUUCAGCCAUAUAUGUAAGCAAUCUGUCGCAGCAAAGAGAUUUCCUGAGUUUUCUGGCUAAGAAGAGUUUUGAAUAUCCUGGCAGCAAAACGCAAUAGAGAUCAGCUGCAUCUGGCCCAUCUAAGGAUAAAAAACAAGUGUGCAAAGACAUAGUUGUAGGUCCUCCUGGUUGUGCUACGUGGGACACCACCUCAGCAUGGCCUGAUGAGCGGUGCCAUGUCCACGCCCAGGAUCCGAACCAGGGAAACCCUGGGGUGCUGAGGUGGAGCACAUGAACUUAACCACUUGUCCAGGGGGCUGGCCCCAAAUAUUUAUUUUUUAUCUCAAUCUUCCUAAUUUUUAUUUUUAAUAUGUGUCUUGUAAUG